RNAcentral lists this microRNA precursor (97 nucleotides) under Marmota monax (woodchuck). Lineage: Eukaryota; Metazoa; Chordata; Mammalia; Rodentia; Sciuridae. The record is from RNAcentral.
AGUAGAAUUGCUGGAUUAUAUGAUAUCCUCUUAUUUUUUGAGGAAACUCCAUGCUCUUUUUCAAAUAGGUGUACUCAUUUACAUCCCCACCAACAGU